UACAGAGGUGGCAAGCGUUGUUCGGAAUUACUGGGCGUAAAGGGCGCGUAGGCGGCCUUCUAAGUCAGACGUGAAAUCCCCCGGCUUAACCUGGGAACUGCGUCUGAUACUGGAGGGCUUGAGUGCGGGAGAGGGAUGUGGAAUUCCAGGUGUAGCGGUGAAAUGCGCAGAUAUCAGGAGGAACACCAAUGGCGAAGGCAGCUCGCUGGGACGUGACUGACGCUGAGACGCGAAAGCGUGGGGAGCAAACAGG
Molecule: ribosomal RNA, 253 nt
Filed under: uncultured bacterium
Lineage: Bacteria
Description: partial 16S ribosomal RNA
Rfam family: Bacterial small subunit ribosomal RNA
Source: RNAcentral